RNAcentral lists this ribosomal RNA (445 nucleotides) under uncultured bacterium. RNAcentral describes it as "bacterial SSU rRNA". It matches the Rfam family "Bacterial small subunit ribosomal RNA", at positions 791 to 1241 of the family's 1533-position model. The record is from RNAcentral.
UAGUCCACGCCGUAAACGAUGGUCACUAGCUGUUCGGACUUCGGUCUGAGUGGCUAAGCGAAAGUGAUAAGUGACCCACCUGGGGAGUACGUUCGCAAGAAUGAAACUCAAAGGAAUUGACGGGGGCCCGCACAAGCGGUGGAGCAUGUGGUUUAAUUCGAUGAUACGCGAGGAACCUUACCAGGGCUUAAAUGUAAGUUGCAUUAGCUAGAGAUAGCUAUUUCUUCGGACUACUUACAAGGUGCUGCAUGGUUGUCGUCAGCUCGUGCCGUGAGGUGUCAGGUUAAGUCCUAUAACGAGCGCAACCCCUGUUGUUAGUUACCAUCAGGUCAAGCUGGGACUCUAAUGAAACUGCCUACGCAAGUAGAGAGGAAGGUGGGGAUGACGUCAAAUCAGCACGGCCCUUACGUCCAGGGGCUACACACGUGCUACAAUGGCCGGUACA